RNAcentral lists this long non-coding RNA (1771 nucleotides) under Musa acuminata (dwarf banana). RNAcentral describes it as "long non-coding RNA (MACU_LNC000096)". Lineage: Eukaryota; Viridiplantae; Streptophyta; Magnoliopsida; Zingiberales; Musaceae. The record is from RNAcentral.
AAGCUAUUUUCUAGUCAUAUCUACACACUAUAAAGUCCACUGUGAUUUCUUCUACACAAAAGUUUUCAGCAUUCUCAGGCUGCAACUUGAAGAACAUGCCUGUGUGUAUGAUUGACUAUUUAAAGAAUUUGGUUUGCACCAUCUCUGACCAUUAUUUGAAGCUGGAACGCAUCCGACAUUAAUCUCAUAGAACUGAUGAUUCUUCUCCGAGCCUUAGCUAACAGCAACAUCAUCAGCUGCUUCGCUUGCAGACUGCUAAAUGUUGGCUGCAUUACUUUGCCACCUGCAGUCUGGUUGUUUGGUGGUGACAGAAGAAACUGAUAGGAGAGAUUGUCGUCUCUGAUCUCCUACCAAGAACAUCACAGAACAAGGCAGUAAAUUAAGUACUACAUCAUGAUGAUCCUUGGCUUAAACCAAGGCAAACAAAGUGCAUUUUGGAUGAGGAGGAAAAAGGUAUUCAGAUUGCAUAAUCCAAGAGAUCUUUCACAGCAUAUCUCAUCAACAAAUAUGGCAACAGAAAUAUAAGUAUCAGAUCUAACCAGAUGACCAGGGUUAAAUGAAGAGUGUUCAUUUCAGAAAAGGACAUUGAUGACUUCUUACAAACAUGCCACAUGGAGCCAAAACAAGUCCUCCAACUUCAGGACCUACCAGAGAAACAUGUUUGGUAGCAGAUCACUUUCAUUUCCAGUUCAUGCAUGGGACAUGAUGAUCAAAAGUCUUUGGAGCCAUGCAUCCUUUUGUUUCCUUUCCUUUUUUUGCAGCUGAAUUGAAUCCAAAUGGAUCUAAUGAAGACCUCAUUAUGUAUCAAAUGAUUCCCAGAUUUUGCACUGGCCCUCGUGGAUAAAAACUUUUUCUUGGGUAAAUUCUCAGACAUUCUGAUUCAAGAAGACAAAGCCACCACAGUAAGUGCUGCAGCUGAGAUAAGCUUGUGAGAAGCCCAGGCAAUUCCAACUUGGAACCACAAUUGUAGUGAUGAUGAACUUGAACAUGUUCUACUGAUGAAUCACUGAGUUUGGAAUCGAAUCUGCUGCUGUCGCGUGCCAAAGCUAAAGCUGUAAACUUCUCUGGAGUAAGGAUUGGCAACUGAAGAGAACAAACAAAGAUACAGCUUUUUUGUGUUGGAUACCUUUACAUGUCAAGCAAGCAUUAGAGGCUGUUAUUUGGAGCUCUGCCAUGGGCGUGGCAGAAUACAUAUGUCGAGGUGCGUCGCCAGUACAGGUUUCGAGGUUGAACUCUCUUUCUCUCUCUCGUCUCAGUACUUCUCCCUUAUCCACAUCGGAGUCAAUACUAUAAAUAUUUUUAGUGUCGAAAAGAUCACAUCGAAAAUCUAUCUAACAUCGAUUUUUCGUGCAGAGAAGGAUAACCCUCGAUAUUUGUGUAAGUCGGAUUCUCCUUGAAGGUGAUCACAGAGAUUGGGUGAUAACACAUGAUUAUGGCAAAAGCCACAAAUUCCUCCCACUAAGAACAUCAAUCUCAUUACUUAUUUGAUUCACCGACACCAACAUCAGAAAGCUGAAAGCUACACGCCCCACUUCAUCCCACAAACAAGGUACUACUCCACACUAAACCUUUAUUCAUGGCUAUUCUCCUCUCAUCAAACGACUACCGUCAGUGCUAGACUAGUAGUGAUCGUGCAUCAAUAGGGGAGAUAGCACUUGCUCGAUUUCACCGGGCCGAACUCGAAGAAGCCUGCGGUGUAGAGAGCAAUGGUGUUGUACCCGUCGCUCAGCUUCCUCUCAAACAUCAGAGAAGCUCCUGGUCCUUUCAGCCC